ACCUACUGCUUUGGAUCCAUUGAGGAUGAAGUGAAUCUUGCCUCAACAUUUAUAUGCACAGAUCUUCUCAUUUCUCUCCCACCUUUCCUUGUCCUCGAUACCUCACCACUACUGUGAUCAGGAACACCGUGUGACUGAACAACGAGGAAGCAAAGGAGAAAAGAGAGAGAAGUGGAGAAAGAAAGAAUCGGCGAUGGGAGUCGAUUACUACAAGAUCCUCCAGGUCGACAGAAACGCCAAGGAUGACGAUCUCAAGAAGGCCUACAGGAAGCUCGCCAUGAAAUGGCACCCGGACAAGAAUCCAAACAACAAGAAGGAGGCCGAAGCCAAGUUCAAGAGGAUCUCAGAAGCCUAUGAGGUCCUCAGUGAUCCCCAGAAACGAGCAGUCUACGAUCAGUACGGCGAGGAAGGGUUGAAAGGACAGGUCCCUCCGCCAGGUUCAGGCGCUUCAGGAGGAUCUUCCUUCUUCAGCGGAGGGGACGGAUCCACUACGUUUCGGUUCAAUCCAAGGAGCGCUGACGACAUUUUUACUGAAUUCUUUGGGUUCUCGAGCCCAUUUUUUGGUGGGGGUGGCAGCGCAGGGGUCAAUGGAAUGAGGGGUGGCUCGAGAUUUCCUAGUGGGAUGUUUGGUGAUGAGUUCUUAGGCUCGCAAUUUGGUGGGGAGGGGUCGAUGAAUCCGCAGCGGCCUCAGAAAGCGGCCGCUAUAGAAAACCGAUUGCCUUGCAGCCUGGAGGAUUUGUACAAAGGGGGCACUAAGAAGAUGAAAAUUUCUAGGGAGGUUUCCGAUAGGAGCGGGAAAACAAUGAACGUGGAGGAAAUCCUUACUAUAAAUAUCAAGCCUGGAUGGAAGAAAGGAACAAAAAUCACAUUCCCAGAAAAAGGAAAUGAGACUCCAAACGUAAUUCCUGCAGAUAUAGUCUUCAUCGUUGAUGAGAAACCUCAUGAUGUGUUUAGUAGGGAGGGAAAUGACCUUGUUAUGACACAAAAAAUCUCACUGGUUGAGGCUUUGACAGGAUACACUGCCCAUAUAACAACCUUAGAUGGCCGAAGCCUCACAAUUCCUAUAAGUUCUGUAAUCCAUCCCAGCUAUGAGGAGGUUGUACCCAGGGAAGGCAUGCCAAUGCCCAAGGAUCCAUCCAAGAAAGGUAACCUAAGGAUCAAGUUCAACAUAAAGUUCCCAAAUAGAUUAACUGCAGAGGAGAAAGCAGGAAUCAAGAAGUUGUUAGCUCCAUGAGGCAGAAGACAGCAAGUUUGUUCUAUGAUGUUGUGAAUAUUUCCAUUCAGGAGUCGAAGCAUUUUGAACAAGGACUUGCAGUUGAGGCGUGAUGGUCACCAUAAAAAUCUGCUCGAGGUUUCUUUAGAGGGUAGUCUGAUCACAUAUUUGAGUUCAAUCGACAAUCAAUUUCGUCCAUGCUAU
This is an RNA transcript of Dendrobium catenatum, 1417 nucleotides long. It is a transcript of the gene named dnaJ homolog subfamily B member 1, with no coding region annotated. The transcript has 4 exons. The record is from RefSeq and is a predicted model, not a curated record. Lineage: Eukaryota; Viridiplantae; Streptophyta; Magnoliopsida; Asparagales; Orchidaceae.